AAAUAUUUGAAUGGAUUUGUUGUGUGAAUGCAGGGUUUUAAAGCAGUACAUGAUGUGAUCAGAAUUGUGGCUUGAAGACUGAUUCUCAUUUAAGGGACAGAAGGACUUUUUCUCUCUCCCUUCCUUUCCCACCAACACCCGCCAAGUAAAUAUUCUCAAAUUGUGGUCCAUAGACCAGUUAGAUCAGAGUCACAGGGACAGGGCAGGGGCCUGGGGCUCACUUGUUUAAAAUUCAAAUUCCCAGAGCCACUGUAUUGCAGCACACCUAAUUGAUAUGUAACAUGGAAAGCACAUUUCAUUCAUUUUUAAAUUAUUCCACAAAUAUUUAUGGAGCAUCAUGCUAGGUGUUGCAGACCAUAAAACAUUUAAUUGGGCAUACUAAUCAUGGCAUUUACAGUCUAGAGGGGAAGCUAAGAUACAUGAAACGAUAGUAUAAUGUAGAAAAUACUAAAAGCUAUAAGAGGGGUGCAAAUUAAAUAUGGUUAGAGUUUAGAGGUUGGGGAGAGCCUCAGUGGAUGUAAUCGAGGAAGUGUUUAUGGAUGAUAGGGCAUUAGAAAGGGUUUUCAGUGAUACUGAGUUUGGAAAUAGGGAGUUGGAAGUGAAAGGCAUUCAGAUGGAGAGAACUCUAUGAGUAAAGACAACGGGAAAGUCUAAAGUAUAGUCAGAACAAUGACAGCCUGGGUCUAUAGGAUGUUGGAAGUGGGGAGCUUGGUUAAUAAGUUGGAAAGGUGGACAGGGGCUAGAUCACCAGGGGCAUUGAACGAUGUUAAGGGAAGGAACUGUAAGAUUAAAGUGAGCAAUAAGGAACUAUUUCUUUACUCUUGUAGGUGAAAGUUCUUGAAAACCUUGUCAAUAUCUCCAAGUCCUCUCUCCCAUCCUCCUCCUAACCCGUCUGCAAUCAGGCUUUCACCUCCAGCACCUCAUGGAAACUGCUCUUGUCAAGCACACCGGUGUCUUCCGUGUUGCUAAAUUGCGUGUCAGCUCCAAGUCCAUCGUACAGAACCUACCAGCAGCAUCUGACAGCAACUACAGGUUGACCUGUGGACAGACCACUGUUGUGACGAUACUACAGAAAAUCACGCUCCUCUCCAGGAUCCUUCUGUCCACCACUGCAGAAACCUGUACUGCUCAGACCCCCAUCCCACCCACAGGUUUUAAGGAGAAUAUCCAGGGGUUGAAAGGGAUGCACCAGCAAAUGCUCACAUCGUUCUUCCAUGGCUCCGUUAAACAGGGCAUCCUCCUGCUGCCUGGGAAAACAAGACACCCCUCGCCAUGGAAAGCAUCCCCACCGUUGCCUGUACCCACUCAGACAUCCAAGCUGAUGAAAGGAGAAUAAAGGCCUAGAAAAUUGGAUCUCAGAUGAAGAAACCCAGCUUUCUUCUUACAACAACUUGUGUGGCAGGAUCACUGUGAAGGUCAUGGAAAGAUGAUGGAAUUCAAAGCAGCACUGAGAAGCUGUUCAAAGCAUUUUCAGAGAACGUGUUCUCCAUAUCAGUCCGAGGAUAUCAUCUCUGUUAAACAACUCUAGAAGAUUAAACGAGGCCGAAUCUGUCAAUUAAUGGACAUCCUCCGUUGAGACUUCCAGUUUUCGCUGUGGGACAAAGAGAGUUCCUAUGGAGGUGUUAUUAGCACCGUCGA
Non-coding RNA from Delphinapterus leucas (beluga whale), 1638 nucleotides. Lineage: Eukaryota; Metazoa; Chordata; Mammalia; Artiodactyla; Monodontidae. The record is from RefSeq and is a predicted model, not a curated record.